UAAGGAAUAUUGGUCAAUGGGCGGAAGCCUGAACCAGCCAUGCCGCGUGCAGGAUGACUGCCCUAUGGGUUGUAAACUGCUUUUGUCCAGGAAUAAACCUAGAUACGUGUAUCUAGCUGAAUGUACUGGAAGAAUAAGGAUCGGCUAACUCCGUGCCAGCAGCCGCGGUAAUACGGAGGAUCCGAGCGUUAUCCGGAUUUAUUGGGUUUAAAGGGUGCGUAGGCGGCCUAUUAAGUCAGGGGUGAAAUACGGUGGCUCAACCAUCGCAGUGCCUUUGAUACUGAUGGGCUUGAAUCCAUUUGAAGUGGGCGGAAUAAGACAAGUAGCGGUGAAAUGCAUAGAUAUGUCUUAGAACUCCGAUUGCGAAGGCAGCUCACUAAGCUGGUAUUGACGCUGAUGCACGAAAGCGUGGGGAUCGAACAGGAUUAGAUACCCUGGUAGUCCACGCCCUAAACGAUGAUAACUCGAUGUUGGCGAUAGACAGCCAGCGUCCAAGCGAAAGCGUUAAGUUAUCCACCUGGGGGAGUACGCCCGCAAGGGUGAAACUUAAAUGAAUUGACGGGGUCAUAGCUGUUUCCU
RNAcentral lists this ribosomal RNA (579 nucleotides) under uncultured bacterium. RNAcentral's name for it is "partial 16S ribosomal RNA". It matches the Rfam family "Bacterial small subunit ribosomal RNA", at positions 355 to 1375 of the family's 1533-position model. The record is from RNAcentral.